UUAUCCCUGCGAUGUACGUAAAUGUGGACUAAUGUAAAACCAACACUUUUUUAAAGGGAAUUUUUCUCCGGAAGCGGCGCACAUGCCUCCCCAAUCCUUGAUUGCGGCCAGUGGACUUGUAAUGUUUUCGGGAUUUUACCCACCUGCCAUGCAGGUUUUUACCUUAUCCCGUAUACGGCAUAGGCGGGGAUUUU
This 194-nucleotide non-coding RNA is filed under the name Oscillospiraceae bacterium. Its description in RNAcentral is "6S RNA". It matches the Rfam family "6S / SsrS RNA". Rfam says of the family: E. coli 6S RNA was the first non coding RNA to be sequenced, but its function was unknown until recently. It consists of 184 nucleotides that fold into an extended hairpin structure with a large single-stranded internal bulge. Lineage: Bacteria; Bacillati; Bacillota; Clostridia; Eubacteriales; Oscillospiraceae. The record is from RNAcentral.